RNAcentral lists this ribosomal RNA (253 nucleotides) under uncultured bacterium. RNAcentral describes it as "partial 16S ribosomal RNA". It matches the Rfam family "Bacterial small subunit ribosomal RNA", at positions 524 to 776 of the family's 1533-position model. The record is from RNAcentral.
UACGUAGGGGGCGAGCGUUGUCCGGAUUUAUUGGGCGUAAAGAGCGUGUAGGCGGCCAGGUAGGUCUGCUGUGAAAACUCGAGGCUCAACCUCGAGACGUCGGCGGAAACCAUCUGGCUAGAGUCCGGAAGAGGAGAGUGGAAUUCCUGGUGUAGCGGUGAAAUGCGCAGAUAUCAGGAAGAACACCCGUGGCGAAGGCGGCCCCCUGGUUGGAUACUGACGCUGAUACGCGAAAGCGUGGGGAGCAAACAGG